GACGAACGCUGGCGGCGUGCUUAACACAUGCAAGUCGAACGGAAAGGCCUGCUUUCCCUUGUGGAUUGCGGGUACUCGAGUGGCGAACGGGUGAGUAACACGUGAGUGAUCUGCCCCCAACUUGGGUAUAAGCCUGGGAAACUGGGUCUAAUUCCCGAUAGGACUGCAGGGUGGUGCCUGUGGUGGAAAACGAUUUUCUAGUGGUUGGGGAUGAGCUCGCGGCCUAUCAGCUUGUUGGUGGGGUAAUGGCCUGCCAAGGCGGCGACGGGUAGCCGGCCUGAGAGGGUGGACGGCCACAUUGGGACUGAGAUACGGCCCAGACUCCUACGGGAGGCAGCAGUGGGGAAUAUUACACAAUGGGCGGAAGCCUGAUGCAGCGACGCCGCGUGGGGGAUGACGGCCUUCGGGUUGUAAACUCCUUUCGACCGCGAGGAAGCCACCUGGUUGGAAGGGUGGUGACGGUAGUGGUAGAAGAAGCACCGGCUAACUACGUG
This 494-nucleotide ribosomal RNA is filed under the name uncultured bacterium. Its description in RNAcentral is "partial 16S ribosomal RNA". It matches the Rfam family "Bacterial small subunit ribosomal RNA", at positions 28 to 507 of the family's 1533-position model. The record is from RNAcentral.